AACGAACGCUGGCGGCAUGCCUAACACAUGCAAGUCGAACGAUGCCUUCGGGCAUAGUGGCGCACGGGUGCGUAACGCGUGGGAAUCUGCCUUUCGGUUCGGAAUAACUCAGGGAAACUUGAGCUAAUACCGGAUAACGUCGCAAGACCAAAGAUUUAUCACCGAAAGAUGAGCCCGCGUAGGAUUAGCUAGUUGGUGAGGUAAAGGCUCACCAAGGCGACGAUCCUUAGCUGGUCUGAGAGGAUGAUCAGCCACACUGGGACUGAGACACGGCCCAGACUCCUACGGGAGGCAGCAGUGGGGAAUAUUGGACAAUGGGCGAAAGCAUGAUCCAGCAAUGCCGCGUGAGUGAUGAAGGCCUUAGGGUUGUAAAGCUCUUUUACCCGGGAAGAUAAUGACGGUACCGGGAGAAUAAGCCCCGGCUAACUCCGUG
Molecule: ribosomal RNA, 433 nt
Filed under: uncultured bacterium
Lineage: Bacteria
Description: partial 16S ribosomal RNA
Rfam family: Bacterial small subunit ribosomal RNA
Source: RNAcentral